This is a long non-coding RNA of Beta vulgaris subsp. vulgaris (sugar beet), 1994 nucleotides long. RefSeq lists it as uncharacterized. The record is from RefSeq and is a predicted model, not a curated record. The transcript has 2 exons. Lineage: Eukaryota; Viridiplantae; Streptophyta; Magnoliopsida; Caryophyllales; Amaranthaceae.
AUUAGAAAAGAGUGUCAUAUCCCAUAUAUGCUUAAUUGUCAAAUAAACAAGUUCAUUUUCUUUCCAUCCAAAUCCUCUCAAAUUUAAUCUUUUUUUUUUUUUACAGAAUAGUUAAUCUUCUUUUUAGGAAUAUCAUUGAUUAAUAUUUAAUUAUUUAUGAUUAAGGAAUUUGAGAUAUCAUCCUUGAAACAUUGUACUUAAUGAGUUUAAACUUUUGUUUAUUUUUACUUCGUAGUUGAACAUUUACUACCAAACUUUUGUUAAACUUUUGUUUAUUUUUACUUCGUAGUUGACAGUAAGUAUUGGGUCAGACCGUCUGACCAAAUACUUACUGUCAGACGGGCUGACCCAGUUAUGGAACCUCCCCUUUUUCUUUUUACUUUUGCAGUUUCAAAUCACAUCGUCAUUAAUGUUCAAUUCAAGCGACGGAAAAGCUCUAGGGAUAAGAAGAAGUACGGAACCUUUUUGUAAGAAAACUCGUUCGAACGCUUUCUUCCCGCUCCAAGAUAAGCACCCAAGCUUUUAAAUAGAACUAGAUCAGCCAGCGAAAAGGAUGUGUUCCUCUUUGAUUCUAAGGUAAUGCAAUUCACUUACUUAAAAGAAGUAAGGAAGCUUAGCUUUCUCUAAACUGGAGUUAUGCGUAAAAUUCACCAUCGUGAAGAGCAACAUCAACAAAAUUACAACUCUUACUGUUUUCCUCAAUUGAUGGUCAACCAUGUCGAAGAAAACAAACCAAGGAGAAAGAGAGAAUAAGAAGCUCCCAUUCACCAGCCAUGGUUGACCAUCAAUUCCCACUUUUGCAGAUGGUUUUGAUUCAUCAGGAGAAAUUUCCUCAAUCCACACUCGCAUAAUAUCAAAGCUGCUACUAAUCUUAGCAAGUGUGCGUGCUACUGUGUUACAAUUUCUGCUCACAUGAGAACCAUCAAAACAAGAGAAACAAGUAGCAAGAUGUAAUAUAUCUCUCACAAUGCUGCUAAAUCUGUUUUUGUCUGUUCUCUUUGCCUUCACAUAUUGAAUUAUUAGCUUUUGAUUAUCAGCUUCUAGUACCACAUUUUCGAGUCCUGCUUCCAAGGCUAUCUGCAUGGCGUGUCUUGCAGCAGCCUCAGCCUCAGCAACAUCCACAUCUCCACUUCCUUUUAUUGUGACUUGUAGAGACCAUUACAUCACCCACACUAUCCCUCAUUACUCCUCCAAGUCCAUACCAUCCACCUUCGAAAGUUGCAGCAUCUGAAUUAAUUUUGUACACGCCGAGUUGAGGUGGUUUCCACACUUUGGGAGCCACUGCUUCACUUUGAGAAAAAGGUUUCGCCAUUUCAGAGAUUUUUGUCAUCUCACGCACUAUACUAAUCGCCUUACUCAACACCCUCCUCUUGUCCCAUUAAUUUUUUGUUGAAGAUCCAAGCAUUCCUCCUCAAACAUAUUCCCCACAACAAACUCCAAAAUAUACUCCACCAAGUGCCAUCAGAGAAAGUUUUAUGGAGCGCAAUACACCAAUCUAUCAGCGAUGUAUCACUAUUGACAUCAACCACCAGAUGAAGAGGUGAUAAAUACCAGACCCUUCUUGCUUUCUCACAUGUAGCCACCAUGUGCAUGAUUGUUUCCUCUUGCUAAUUGCUAUCCACACAUAGGACAUACCUCAUCAUUACCAAUAUGUCUUUGGGACAAAAGAGCUCUAACUGGGAUGCCAUUGUUGGGAGCUUUCCAUCCAAAGUUCUCUAUUUUCGGACGAACAUUCACCUUCCACAAGAGCUUCCACACUCAGCGUUUUGUCUUCAUUAGUGGCUGAAGGGCCAGCGCUUUGUUUAUCGUUCAAUUCUGCGUAGUAGGCACUACGAAUUGUAAAGUCAUCAUGCACUAAGUAAUGCUAGUGCGGCAUGAACUGAAUUUCAUAUUUUUUUUCAGUUUUUUCACUAAGUAACCCUGAGUUUUCAGAAAAAUCACGAGAUACACCCAACUUUUUUAAAUACAAGAAGUACCCCUAAAUUUCAUAAUAA